Molecule: ribosomal RNA, 467 nt
Filed under: uncultured bacterium
Lineage: Bacteria
Description: partial 16S ribosomal RNA
Rfam family: Bacterial small subunit ribosomal RNA
Source: RNAcentral
GAUGAACGCUGACAGAAUGCUUAACACAUGCAAGUCUACUUGAAUUUGGGUUUUUUCACUUAGAUUUGGGUGGCGGACGGGUGAGUAACGCGUAAAGAACUUGCCUCACAGCUAGGGACAACAUUUGGAAACGAAUGCUAAUACCUGAUAUUAUGAUUAUAAGGCAUCUUAGAAUUAUGAAAGCUAUAUGCGCUGUGAGAGAGCUUUGCGUCCCAUUAGCUAGUUGGAGAGGUAACGGCUCACCAAGGCGAUGAUGGGUAGCCGGCCUGAGAGGGUGAACGGCCACAAGGGGACUGAGACACGGCCCUUACUCCUACGGGAGGCAGCAGUGGGGAAUAUUGGACAAUGGACCAAGAGUCUGAUCCAGCAAUUCUGUGUGCACGAUGACGUUUUUCGGAAUGUAAAGUGCUUCCAGUUGGGAAGAAAAAAAUGACGGUACCAACAGAAGAAGUGACGGCUAAAUACGU